UACGUAGGGUGCGAGCGUUAAUCGGAAUUACUGGGCGUAAAGCGUGCGCAGGCGGUUCGUUGUGUCUGCUGUGAAAUCCCCGGGCUCAACCUGGGAAUGGCCGUGGAAACUGGCGGGCUUGAGUGUGGCAGAGGGGGGUGGAAUUCCGCGUGUAGCAGUGAAAUGCGUAGAGAUGCGGAGGAACACCGAUGGCGAAGGCAACCCCCUGGGCUGACACUGACGCUCAGGCACGAAAGCGUGGGGAGCAAACAGG
Molecule: ribosomal RNA, 253 nt
Filed under: uncultured bacterium
Lineage: Bacteria
Description: partial 16S ribosomal RNA
Rfam family: Bacterial small subunit ribosomal RNA
Source: RNAcentral